UAGGGAAUCUUCCACAAUGGACGCAAGUCUGAUGGAGCAACGCCGCGUGAGUGAAGAAGGUUUUCGGAUCGUAAAGCUCUGUUGUUGGUGAAGAAGGAUAGAGGCAGUAACUGGUCUUUAUUUGACGGUAAUCAACCAGAAAGUCACGGCUAACUACGUGCCAGCAGCCGCGGUAAUACGUAGGUGGCAAGCGUUGUCCGGAUUUAUUGGGCGUAAAGCGAGCGCAGGCGGAAUGAUAAGUCUGAUGUGAAAGCCCACGGCUCAACCGUGGAACUGCACCGGAAACUGUCAUUCUUGAGUGCAGAAGAGGAGAGUGGAAUUCCAUGUGUAGCGGUGGAAUGCGUAGAUAUAUGGAAGAACACCAGUGGCGAAGGCGGCUCUCUGGUCUGCAACUGACGCUGAGGCUCGAAAGCAUGGGUAGCGAACAGG
This 429-nucleotide ribosomal RNA is filed under the name bacterium. Its description in RNAcentral is "partial 16S ribosomal RNA". It matches the Rfam family "Bacterial small subunit ribosomal RNA", at positions 355 to 776 of the family's 1533-position model. The record is from RNAcentral.